AGUGUUUACUUCGCCUCCACUUCUGUUCCUCCCCGCCCUGGUGCUGCUCCAGGUCACAUACUCUUCCUGAGCCGGCUUCAGCCUCUCCGCGCAGAAGUCUCCCGGAGCCAUGGCCUAGUAUUCUUAUGUGAAGUCUACCAAGCUUGUGCUCAAGGGAACCGAGGUGAAGAGCUGGGUCCUGCAGCUCCGGCGGGAGCCUCCUCAGUUCUUUUCGGACGCACUCCACCCCCGCGAAUCCGGUGGAAGCCGUGAUGCGGAGAGCCGGCUUCGUGGCCUCCCAGGCUUCGCUCUGACCCUGUCUGGGCUGGAUGGAGGCCGGACCGCCCUUCCUGGCGCCUGUGCAGAGAGGGGCAGCCUCCUGCGCGGACGACCCUGGAAACAGGAUAGACGGGCGGGUGACCCGUGACCCCGUACCCACGAGUUUGGGUCCCUUGAGGCAUCUCUCCAGGCCUCUGCCUGAUUUGCCUGAGGUUGACUGUACAUGCAAAUAUUGAGCUUUCCUCCUGGCCUCCGUGAUAAACAGAAGUUUUGAUAUUGUUAGGCGAGAUGGAAAGAAAGUAUCAAGGAGUGAGCUGAAGCCACUGCCCUUGAGAACCCUCUCGAGGAGUCUGGCCUCAUGAAGAUGCCAGAAUAAAUGGCAGAGCUAAGAAGUGACAGAAUCGGGAUUUAAAAUCUGGCGGUGUGGCUCUACAAUCUGCUUUGAACUUUAACAUAAUAUGUACAAAGCCUGAAGCAAAUUCUCAGUACUGUAUUUAAGAGGGCAUAGCAAUUAAGAAGAAAAAGAGCAAAGAUAAGAAGAGAAAAAGAGAAGAUGAAGAAACCCAGCUUGAUAUGUUGAGGAACGCAGCUGCUCACCAGCAACGGAACAAAGCUGGACGGAGAAUGACUUUGAAGAGCUGAGAGAAGGCUUCAGACGAUCAAAUUACUCUGAGCUACGGGAGGACAUUCAAACCAAAGGCAAAGAAGUUGAAAACUUUGAAAAAAAUAAAUGUACAUUAAUUAACGUGGAAUCUGGUGAACAGUAACAAACUUUGGUGAAAUUUCAGGAACCAUAGCCAUUGAAGUGGAUGAGGGAACCUAUAUACAUGCACUCAACAAUGGUCUUUUUACCCUGGGAGCUCCACACAAAGAAGAAUCGCCCUGAAACCUGGCUAUGGAAAAUAUCUUAGUAUAAAUUCAGAUGAACUUGUUGUUGGCGUUCAGAUGCAAUUGGACCAAGAGAACAAUGGGAACCAGUCUUUCAAAAUGGUGCCUGUGCAGCAGUAUUCACUGUGAUAGGAAGUGAGAAGCAGUCUGAGUGUUCAUUGCUGAGGGAAUCAAGGGCAAAAUAUCAUGGAUGCACUCAUGGACAAAUAAGCAGCAGUUUGAAGCAACACCCUAGAUGGAUGUACAGCCAUCAAGAGGAUCUUAAAGUGUGGUCUUUAGUGGAAAAAAAGCAGAAGCAAUGUAUGGGAGACUGAGUAAUUACAUAUGAGCUCACAUCACUAUCUCUUCCACCACUGUCAUCCAUCAUGACUGAUCUGGGAGAUGAAACAGCACAGAUCUAAAGGACGUGGUAAGAAUCGAGAUCACCAGAGAUCAGUAGAUACUUGCAUACUUGGAGGAUUAACACUGUCUGGAUUCCAACGAUCAGCUGAGUAUGUUCAAGAUAAAGCUAUAGUACAUAUUUUAGAUUGGGAAUUGGCAACAAAUAGCUGUAGACUACCUUCUGAGGAAUAAGUGUUUUCACAUGUGUGGGUGUCAUUUCUAAUCCCAGCAUCACAGUCAGGUCCAGAUACCUGUUUCUGAUCUUUGGUCCUAUGCCUAAUCUCCUCCAAGAGUCCUUCCCUGGAUCUCCUAUCUAAGCAAGAUGCUCGAUGCCCACCAAUGAGUACUGCACCAAGUUCAUUUCCACUAGCCUGUGUUACAAUUUGUGUUUCUGUAUGUUUCCCUUACUUGUUAUUCUUUGUCUUCCCCAUUAGACUGAAAGCACCGCCACGGGGACCGUGUCUAGGACAUAGGAGGUCCUUAAUAAAUAUUUCUUGAGUGGAUAAAUGGUGAACCAUAGGGGUGGCAUAAGAGCAAAUAGAGGGUAGAUGAGCACUAAUCCAUUCACCACCCUGUUUAUGGGUGGUGGACCUUGGAUGGCCUUUUUCAUAGUCAAAACAUACUUUUUAGAUCUGCCUUCUUGGGAUGUAUUCAAGGAUGCUAGCCGUGUUUGAGACUGUAAAUAUGUCUAGUGAAUAGGGCUUCAGGCUGUGUGUGUUUGCCUUGUUUUGCACAGAAUUCGGCACAGCCCCAAGCACAGAUGGGUGCUUCAUAAAUAUUGUUGAAGGAUGAUGACACAAAGGAUUAUUUAAUACCUCUGACCUCAGGCCACAAACAUACUUUCAAUGUGUUUUACUUCUGAAAUCAUUUGAACCAGAAUGUUUCAGCAACACAGAUUCAUCUGCAACCACAAAUCAGACACAUUUAGAAUGACAAAGCCCCAAAAGAAUGCCAUUUUCAAGGCUGAAACUGUAUUAUUCUGGGCUAAAUGGAAUCCUUGUUUUAGUGACACUGUAAGAGUAGAAAUUAAAGACACUGAAAAUCUUCCCUUGGGGAACCACAAUUAUCUGUGAACAAUGAAAGUUUGUCUGAAUAAUUCAUCAGCCUCAAGGGUACAGGCCUCCCCUUAUUCUGGAAUCCCAGGAGUUUAGGCAAGUGUGUCAUUUAAUGGGUCUCAACUGUGUCCUCAGUUGUUAUUAUUCCAGGGCCUGGCAUUUAUGGGCACAUUCCUAUAAUUUUACUAAUUAAAAAAAAAUAAGCUAUAUGGGAAACCACUGUCAAGGUCAAAAUUUUGAAGCUGCAUUGAUUUUACCUAGGAAGAAAGAAGCUUAUAAAGUGUCCAUCAUGAGAAUCCACCUGGGACCUACACAACAGAUCAAAUACCCAGAACAAAUCACCACGUCAGAGCCCCACAGAAUUCUGAUUCCCAACCAACAAGCAUGAGUAAUCCUUUUAAAUGGUCACUUACAUAUCAGAACAGGUCCUUUGUGAAAUUUCUAAGCAAGGCCUCUGGUUUCUGACUGAAACAGAGAUUUAUUGAGAAGGAGGGGUAAAGUGAAAUCAAGAACUGCUGGGAAAUUUCCACAAGAAACAAGGACAAAUGGUUUUUGUUGUCAGAGUAAAACCAGCCUCCCCUAGCCAUGGUUUGGAAAGUUAUUUGCUAGCCCACAGGGGACAAUAUUCUCAACUGGUUUAUCAGGGACCCUUUUGAUCCAAUUAUAGUUAUUGGGCAGAUACAGUAGUACCCUAUUAUCAGAAGACCUAGUUUCAAAUCCUGAGUCAACUUCUAAUUCACUGUGUGACCUUGUACAAGUCACUUAAGCUCUCUGAUCAUUGGUUCAACAUCUUUAAUAUGAGGAGAGUAAUGCCUAUCUCAAUUACCUCAUAAAAUUAUUGCAAAGAUCAAGUGAGUUGAUAUGUUACAAAUUAUUUCUAAAUUAUAAGAUUCUGUAUAAGUGGAAGGGUUAAAUAUACUCCCAUAUUAUUAAAUACCCUACGUAUCACUCAGGAUUCUAUAUGACUCUGAGUUCUCAAUUUCUAGAAAUGGUCCCAUUUUUACUUUGUUCCCUACAAUUCUACGGAGUCUUUUUUUUUUUUAAAGGAAGGGUGUAGGCAAAGGUAAAUGGGAGAAAACAUGGAAUCACAUACCACUCUUUGGUGCUGCUAGGCAAGAAUUUUAAACUGAGUUUAGGUCACCAUCGUGGACUUAAGGUCCAUAUCACCUCAGGGAGACAAGUAGAGUGGGAGGCAUCCAAAAGGUAGGUGAUUCUUCUCCCCUCUAGUGAAGAAUACAAGGUCAAUUUACAAAAAAGCACCAGCAGCAAAUAAUUGGAAAAUUAAAUUCAUAAAACAUUUAUAAUAGCGUCAAAAAAAAGAAAAUACUCAGAAAUAAAUUUGACAAAAAUUGUAUAAGAUCUCUACAUUAAAAAUUAUGAAAUACAUGUAAGAGAAAUUAAAGAAAACCUAAAUAGAGAGAUAUACCACAUUCAUGGAUUGGAAGAUUCAAGAUUAUUAAAAUACUAUUCUCCCCAAAUGGCUCUAUAGAUUCAACAUAAUCCCAAUCAAAAUCCCAGUAGGCUUUGGUAGAAAUUGAGAUGUUGGUUCUAAAAUGAAAUAAAAUGCAGAGGACCUAGAAUAUAUAAUUUCCCUUUAAUUUGACAAAGAAGAAAAACAUGUUGGGAAGCUCACCUAAUUUCAGUGUAAUAUUUACAUACGAAUCAACAAAUGGAUCAGUGGUAUAGAAUAGAGAAUCCUGAAAUAGAUCUACAUAUAUAUGGCCAACAGAUUUUUAAUAAUGGUGCCAAGGCUAUUCAGGGGAAAGAAAAUUCUUUUUUAAAAAUGGGAUUGGAAAAACUGGAUAAGGGAAAUAAGUGAACCUCGACCCCUACCUUAUACCGUGCUCAAAAAUUAAUUCAAAAUCAUUCUAGACAUAAAUGUAAAAGUUGAAACUGCAAUGACUCUAGAAGAAAAUAUAGAGAAAAUAUCUCUCUGACCUUGGAGGAAGCAAAAAUUUCUUGUAGUUGACAAAGACAUAUAUAAUAAUCAUAUAAUCCAUUAAUUAUAAGAAAAAUAAACUAGACUUCAUCAAAAUUUAAAACUUCUGCUCAUCAAAAGAUACUAAUAAGAUUAAAAGUAGCCAGGUUCAGUGGCUCAUGCCCAUAAUCCCAGCACUUUGGGAGGCUGAAGCAGGGGGAUCACUUGAGGCCAGGAGUUUGAGACCAGCCUAGGCAACAUAGCAAGAUCUCAUUUCUACAAAAAAUGUUUUUAAAAUUAACUGGGUAUGAUGGCGCAUGUGUAGUCCUAGCUACUCAGGAGGCUGAGUUGGGAGGAUUGCUUGAGCCCAGCAGUUGAAGGUUACAGUGAACUAUGAUCGUACCACUGCACUCCAGCCUGGGCAACAGAGUGAGACCCUUUCUCUAAAAUAAACAAAUAAAUAAUUUUUAUGUCAUCUGAAACUAAGAUCAUACUGAAAUUUUCCCUCAGUGUCUCCAGAAUGUCUUUUUUGAAUGGUUUGCCCAAUGUAGUAUCUCAUUUAGAACCACGUGUUAUGGCCCUUCAGUAUUUUUUUGUUGUUGUUGUUGUUGAGACAGAGUUUCACUCUUGUUCUCUUGUUGCCCAGGCUGGAGUGCAAUGGCAUGGUAUCGGCUCACUGCAACCUCUGUCUCCUGGGUUCAAGCGAUUUUCCUGCCUCAGCCUCCCAAGUAGCUGGGAUUACAGGCAUGCGUCAUCAUACCUAGCUAAUUUGUCCCAUAGAAUCUCAUCUUCUGGAUUUUGUGGCUAUUUUUUCAUGGUGUUGAUUCAUUCAUAAGGUAAAAUUUAUAUACAGUGAAAUGCAUUUUAUGGGUACAAUUCAAUGAGUUUUGAAAAGUGUGCACAUCCAUGUAACCACCACCCAGAUUAAGACACAGAACAUUCCCGUCACCUCAGAAUGUUUCCCGGUGCCUUCUUCCUACCCCUCAUACAGUAACAUUGUAAUAAUUUCUAUUGCCACAUAUAUGUUUACCUGUUCUGAAACUUCACAGAAAUGGAAUUAUAUAUUAUGUAUUUGUUUGUUACUGGCUUUUUAUCAUUUAAUUUUUUUUUAUUCAUCCACACCCACUGCAUGUGUCAGUAUUUCAUUCCUUCUUGUUAUUGUGUAGUAUACGAAUAUAUAAAUAUAUCACUAUUUUUGCAAUCUCCUGUUGAUGGACAUUUGUAUUGUUUCCAGUUAUUAGCUAUUAUGAAUCAUGCAACUAUGUAUAUUAUUAUACAGGUCUUUUGUGGACACAUCUCCAUUAUUUUUGGGUAAAUAUUUAGGAAUGGAAUGUUGGUCAGCUGUAGGCUCCAUUUUACAAGAAACUGCCAAACUGUCUUCCAUUCUACACUUUUGUUUGCAAUGUAUGAAAGUUCUGGUUGCUUCCUAUCCUAAUCAACAUUUGGUGUGGGACUACAGGAACAUGCCACUACACCUGAUUGAUUAAAGAAAAUUUUUUGUAGAGACAGGGUUUUGCUCUAUUGCCCAGGCUGGUCUUGAAUUCCUGGCCUCAAGUGAUCCUCCCACCUCAGCCACUCAAAGCUCUAGGAUUACAGGUGUGAGUCGCCACGACCGGCCAAAAUUUAUUAAUUGGUAGUUGGCAAUUGUUGAUGGAAAAGAAAAAGCAGGUUACAAGCAAUGUACUUUUUGAUGUCUUUGGUAUUAUCACAGGCAAAUAAAUUAUAUAUGUAUAUAUAUUAUGUAUAUUAUAUUAUGUAUUUUAAUUAUAUGUGUAUAACGUAUAUGUAUAGAAAGAGAUACAGUAAGGAAUAUAAGUUUUUCUAUUAACAUAGGUAACCCAAGGUAGGGGAUAAGAUGUUUACAUUCUCUUAUUUGUGUUUUCUAACUUUCCACCAGGCACAUACACUGUUUCUAUAAUAACACGUGCUGGUUGAAAAUGUCAGACUCUGAAAUUCAAUGUUUUAUAAUAUAGGGUGAUAGACAAGAGGGAUGGAUAGAGCAAGAAGAAUGAAACCUAAUAGGGUUAGUUAGAGCCCUACUGAGUGAAUCUCUUGUUGGGUAUUUUCCAUGCACUGUCUCGUUUCAUUCUUACAAUAAACCUAUGAAGUAUCAUUUUUCUAUUUGUACAGCGCUAAUAAGGCUAUAAGUUAGCAUUUGAACAUAAUAUAAUCUGACCUCAAAACCCAUGCUUUUUUUCCCUCACUUAUACAUACAUACUUUCAGGUUAAUAAGUUCUGUUGCUAAACAUUUAUGUAGUAUUUACUAUGUACCAGGCACCAUGUUAAAUGUUCUACAUGAAGCACCUCAUUUGUACUUCAUGACAAUCCAUAUAAAGAUACCACUAUUAUUAUCCACAUUUUACAGAUAAGAAAACUGAGGCACAGAGACUAAAUAAAUCUAAAUUCCCACAGCUAGUAAGUGGCAGAGCCAAGAAUUAAGCUCAGGCCACCUGAUUCUCCAGCUUCUACCCAAUACACUAUACCGUGUUCCCAUGUUUUCAACACAUUCCCAAAUGGAGCAGGGGAGAAUAAGCGCCAGCAACCAACAAAGGAGACAUCGACGCCAAAGGUCUACCAUAAAGUUUUUCACGGUGACAUCCUUGCUUACCUGUCCAGGGCCAUGCUGGUUGGCAUACUCCUCCCAAACCCGCGGACCCCCAUCUGAUGGAAAUAUGGAAUGCAAGAGAGGUUGGCAGCAAUGAUGGCCAGGGAGUCAGAAGGGCUCACAAAGAAGCCAUUUUGGCCUAGGAUCAUAUAACGGUCCUGUAGGAAGGAAUGCGUAAAAAUGAUCGGACAGAAGCAUCUGCUAGCAGCCCAUUCCCAUAAUCAUCACAAUCCACUUUACUGCCAUCUUAUAUUUAACAAUCUAACAACUUGAAUGAGGCCAAAGAGAACAUGGGAAACAUUCUUCAAAAUCUCUGAGUACCAAGGGCCCAGAUUCUUGACACACCAGGAAUAUGUUCCACCUGUUGAAAUGUGGCUCAAGCUUUAGAAGCCCCCAAAUACCUAAUUCUUUCUUUCUCCCAAACAUAAUGGAGAACACUGCUUCUUGCAGAAAUAGCUGAUUUCUUAACUUGGUGCUUUCAACAACACCAGCCAUAAAUAAAGAUUUAUUGAAUAAUAUAUAUUUUUAAAUAAACAACCUUUGUAUGCCAUAAUGUAAAUCUGGAACUAAGAAAAGUAAUCGCUAUUUAAUUGCAAUACUUAGUCAUUAAACAGAAGGGCAGAUGCAGAGCCAGUUAGGGCACACAUGCCCCAUACAUGUUAGCUCCAGAUGUGUUCAUUAAUUCUCUGCUUUCCAGUGCAUGGCUCAUUAUAUGAUCAAAGGGUCAGCAGACAGAGAGCUUUCCUACUUACCCCAUCAGCAUCAAAUGCAGCUCCAAAUCCAUAUUCUCCUCCUUUCAUUGCUUCCAGAAGAGUCAUUGCAUAUGUCAGGUUUGGGUCAGGGUGCUGCCCUCCAAAGUCUUCCAGGGGAACACAGUUUAUUGCAGAAUUGGCUGGGGCCCCCAGCUCAUCACACAGAACUUUUCUCACAUAAGGUUCCAUAACUAAAAAUAGAUACACAGCAAUAUUAAAUAUUUGCAGAACCUUCUCCCCAGAGUAUUUUGUUCUGAAUAGUACAGGAAACACCAUUUAAUAACCCAGAAGAAAAAUAUAAAUUUACAAUCGUUUUAAAGAUACAAUAUAGAACAAUAUUUGCUUGAACUACUAUUUAUUGAGCAUCUACUAUGUGCCAGUUACUGUGGUAGGAAUACAGAAGAUGUAUUCAAUCAUCUAGUUACAUACAUUUUUUCACCUGAAAUUUUUCUAAAAGUUUGCCAGAAAGAAAUCAGCUACAUAAUAAUGAUUCAUUGCCUGUUGCUUUUCAUGUAUUAAAAGCUUUAGCUGAAUAUAUGCAAAAGCAUUAAAGGGCUCUAGCAAUGUUCUUUGUUUCUGCAAUCAUUUGGACUUUGCCAAGUAUAUAAUUAAACACUAUAAACCACUGAAGCAUAUAAAAACAAGCACAUUUUACCAAAAUACAUGCCAAGGAAUAGUAUUUUCCAGUUCAAUGAACAUUAUGGAGUAUGCAAUAUGGAGCUGCUCUGCUAGGAAAUGAAGGGAUCAUAUUGAAGGGAUGCAAAGCACAUAGUUUCUACAUUCCUGGGCUUGUAAUCUAGUAGUGGGAUGAGUCAAAGCUGCAAAUGAAUGACUGCAGUGGUAAGACUAAACAAUGCACAUUGAUGAAAUAAUUAUAUCCAAUGGCUUCAGAGAAGCAAUAACCACACAUAAGGCUUCAAGGAAGAAGCAGCAUUUCUGGUGGAACUUGACAGAAUAAUAUAAAGUUGGCAAGUGUUUGGGUUUGGAGUGGGAAGCCCAUCUAAAUCGAAGGAACAUUAUGAGCAAGGGAACAGAGCCUGAGGUAGAACAUAAGGCACAUUUGUGGAACAGCAUGUAAUCCUCCUAGCUGAAAUAUCUGAAAGAUAUUGCUUUCCACUUAUUUUCCACCAAUACAACACACAAUCCUCCAAUAGUGAACAUCUCUUGAUUGUGCCUGCCCAGCACACAUUUCCUCUUCCUCUGGAUACAGCAUUUGGGAUUUCUAUUGGAGAAAAACUCCCUUCCCCAUCUCAGUUCAUGGGGUCUGGGUAUGGCUAAAUCCCACCUCCCCAAGGCUAAGGAGGUGACCUAGGUCUGCGCAAUCAGCGUCCUCCAUCUUCUAGCCAGAGCAAUUGAUUCAAAGAUGGACAUACAGUAUAAACCAGGCAAUGAGGCUGAAACCCAGAAUCAUUGCUCAUACUAUUUGGAAAAAAAGCAAAGCUGUCUUCCCUGUAGGCCAGAUAAUGCUAAGGCAAGAACCUGAAAGUUCUUUUCCUGAGGAAUAUGAUCAGCCCAACAAGAAAGAACAGAACAGCCUAGCCAGAAGCCCUUAGAGUAAGGCCCAUGGAGAAGACCCACAGCAGGCUCAGAGCUCCCAGCAGAUUUUUAGUGCCUCAUUCUUAAAUAUGCCAGAAAGCCAAGGAUCACCAAAAUUUUGAGGAAUGUAUUUGAGAUGAGGUGAAAAUAAACAAAAAGUAAAGAGAAACCUGGAGGAAACAAAAAUUAUACAGGGAGAAGAAAACUUUUUAAAAUAUAUCAGUAAUAUCCUAAUAGAGAUUAACAAGAUAGAGUAGAAUGGCUAAAAUGGAAAAGACUGACAGUACCAAGUAUUGGUGAAGAUACAGAUAAACUGGAGCCCUCAUGCAUUGCCAGUGGUGCAAAUGGAACAGGCAUUUUGGAAAAUGAUUUGGCCAUUUCUUAUAAAGGUAAACAUACACGUAUCAUAUGACUCAGCAAUCCCAUUCCUAGCUGUUUACCCAAGACAAAUGAAAACGUACAGACUUGUUCACGAAUGUUCACAGUAUCUUUCUUUACAAUAGCCAACAACUAGAAGAAAAAUCUAAUUUUCAUUAACCAGUGAAUAGAUAAACAAAUGGUGGUAUAUCGACAACACAAUAAAAUUGUACUCAGCAGUAAAAGGAACAACUACUGAACUACUGAUACAUGCAACACCAAGAAUGUAUAUCAAAAUUAUUAUGCUGAGUGAAAGAAGCUUGAAGCAAAAGGUGACAUAUUGUAUGCUUCCAUUUAUAUAACUUUCUGGAAAAUGCAAAACUAUGGGAGCAGAAAGCAGAUGAGUGGUUGCCAGGGGCUGGGGAUAAGGGGAGAGGUUUGACUACAAAGGGCUGCAAAAAACUCUUUGAGGUGAUGGAAAUAUUCAAUCUUGAUUGUGAUAGUGGUUACAUGGCUGUAUAUAUUCGUCAAAUCUUAUCAAACUGUAUAUCUACUAGGAGUGAGUUUUAUUGUGUAUAAAUUAUACCUCAGUAAACCUAAGUUUAAAAAGAUACGGUAUCCAUGAAACAUAACUAGGAUGUAUUUUUACAAGAGAGAAUCUUUGGAAAAUACAAACAAAAGUUUUGGGAAAUUAAAAAUAUAAUGGUAGAACUAAAGGACUGGAAGAUAAAGUCAAGGAAAUUUCCCAGAAAGUAGAACAAAAUAAAGAGAUGAAAAACUGGGGAGGAGAAGGGGAAAUAGAAUAAUUAAAGGAUCAAUUCAGUAGUAAAAAUAACCAGAAUGGUUACUAAAUAGUAAUUCAAAAACUUUUCCAGAAUUAAAGGACACAAGUGUUCAGACUGAAAGGGUCCAUCAGGUGUCCGAUAUAAUAAAGAUAGAGUCCCACACUAAGAUCCAUUAUUGUAAAACAGAGGAACACUGAAGAUAAGUCAAAGGUCCUAAAAGCUUCCAGAGAAGAAAAAGGAAAGACAAUGGAUUAAAAAUCAAAAUAGCACUGGAUUUCUCAAGUUUAAUAUAAUAGCUAAAACACAGUAGAGCAAUGCCCUCAAACUUCUGAAGAAAAAUAAUAUCCAACAUAGAUUUCCAUAUCAGUCAAAUAUUAAUCAAGGGCAAGUGUAGAAUAAAAGGCCUUUUCAGAUAUACAAUACACAAAAUAUUUACCUACCAUGAGCUUUCUCUCACUGAGUUCCUGGAGAAUGUGUUCCUCCAAAAUGUACCAGUAAAUCAAGGUGUCAGACAAAGAAACCAGGGGACAGGACAUUUAACAUAAGAGAUGUGUAAAAAGAAUUACUACCAUGGUGAUAAAGGGAGAUUUCAUGAUGACAGCAUGCUCAGAGAGCAACCAGGGCAGAGUGGGGCAGAUCAAAGUCUCCAGGAAAAUGAAGUGAAGGAAGAUUUAGACACUAGCGGAGAGCUUGAGGAUUAAGAGUGGUAAACAUACUUGAUUAAAAGCAAGCAAUGAGAAAACAAGAUAAUUGCUGUUUCCAAGGAAAUCAAAAAGUUGUACUGUAAAGGAAAUAUAAUUAUAGCAUAUUGCAUGGCUCAGCAGUGUUGUGGUAAUGUAAACACUAGAUAAUGAUCUUACCAAACUGGUGAUAUAAUUAGGGAAGCAUGCUAGGAUUCCCUAACUGGUGG
This 11445-nucleotide long non-coding RNA is filed under the name Homo sapiens (human). Its description in RNAcentral is "LHRI_LNC1508.11". Lineage: Eukaryota; Metazoa; Chordata; Mammalia; Primates; Hominidae. The record is from RNAcentral.